UGCCAGCCGCCGCGGUAACACGUAGGUGGCGGGCGUUAUUCGGAAUCACUGGGCGUAAAGGGUUCGUAGGGGGCUGAAUUAGUCUGAUGUGAAAGCCGGGAGCUUAACUCCCGAAGUGCAUUGGAAACUGUUCAGCUAGAGUAUAUGAGAGGCAAGCGGAAUUCGUGGUGUAGCGGUGGAAUGCGUAGAUAUCACGAGGAAGGCCAAAGGCGAAAGCAGCUUGCUGGCAUAUUACUGACCCUGAGGAACGAAAGCUAGGGGAGCGAAAAGGAUUAGAUA
RNAcentral lists this ribosomal RNA (279 nucleotides) under uncultured bacterium. Its description in RNAcentral is "partial 16S ribosomal RNA". It matches the Rfam family "Bacterial small subunit ribosomal RNA", at positions 506 to 784 of the family's 1533-position model. The record is from RNAcentral.